Molecule: long non-coding RNA, 1734 nt
Organism: Olea europaea var. sylvestris
Lineage: Eukaryota; Viridiplantae; Streptophyta; Magnoliopsida; Lamiales; Oleaceae
Exons: 2
Source: RefSeq, a predicted model, not a curated record
ACAAAUAAAACUCGUACACACGAAACCCAUGACACUUUCUUUACGGUAGUCAUUUCUCUUCAAUUCCUCUUCCAAGAACCAUUAACCAAACAAUAGGUCAUUAUUGAAUUGCAUUGUUUCACCUAUCAAUUUCAUUUUCGACACAUCAUUUAAGCUAAGGAAUUCAAGGUACAAAAUGCCACCAAAAAGAAAGGACACAACUCAAGAGAAAUGAAGUUUGAAGGUUGGUGAGACAUCUACCAGUCGCAAAAAGGCAAAUGAAAAUCUAGAUGAUGGGGAUAUAGCACGAUUUUUGAAUGUUGAAAAUUACGAAAAUUUGGAGAUAAAGUGGAAAGAUAAGAAAUUUUACCAAGAGAGGAGGGUCAUAACUGGUGAUUUUGAAGAACGCUACUCGAGAGAAUUAUACACCACUUCAGUUGGGAAAAGGUUAUUGGUAUAUCUCACGCGACAUAUUGUACAUUGGUAAAGGAUUUUUUCACCAAAUACAAUGCUAACAUUGAUAACCCAUAAUCUUCCCACAGAAAUCAAACAUGGGUUAGAGGAAAAUGGAUCCGGUUCAGCCCAACGAUAAUUGACAGAUAUUAUGGGUUGAACCAUACUCACAAGACAUGGCACCGGUAGCUUGUUUUAGUGAGGUUGAACGGCCACUUAAUUUCAUCUCGUUUUCUACAUAAUAAUUGACUUCAGAGCUCAGACUCUUGCAUAUCAUCUUCUAUACCAAUAUUUACCCUACGUCCUAAAGGAAAAAAAUUCAAUGAAGAAAGGGCUAGGCUACUUUAUCACAAGGCAAGAUUGCGGAAAUUACUUGGGAGCCCGUAUACAUACGUUUAUACGGGAGUUGGCCUCAUCUAUCGAUCCUUAGCGAGGCAUUAUAUUCCCAUGCUUGAUCAUGGAAUUUGUUUGAUAGUCGAGAUACCACUGCUGUCAAGAUAGGAUAGUGCUGCUCUAGAUGCCCUAAUCAGCAAAAGAACAAUUGACAAUUCAGAAGCCAUAGUGGCGAGAGCAAAAAGAGCACAUAAUACCGAGCAGGCACCUCCACCACAACAGCAAGCUCUAGAUGCUAACACAAUCUUCCUUAGUAGACAGUUAUCUCAGAUACAGAUAACCUAUGUGGAGUUUGGUAGAUAUGUUAGCACCACGACAAAUGUUUUAGAGGUGAUGCAGCGGACGCAGCUAGACAUGUUGAGGAAGUUACAAAGAGUGAGUGUACAAAUAAGAGGGUUCCAACUAAGUGAUGAUCAGACGUACUAUGAACAAAGAACCAUCACUUACGCUUAUAAUCAAGUGCAUGAGUAGACAGUGCACUUUGAGAGUCAAUUGGAGAUGAUUGACCAAAAAUGAAGGCCAGAUGGUAAGGACUGCUAAGUCUUUCAGACCUACUAGUUUGUCCAGCCAGUCGGACCAACCUAAUUGACAGUGCACUUUGAGAGUCAAUUGGAGAUGAUUGACCAAAAAUGAAGGCCAAAUAGUAAGGACUGUCAAGUCUCUCAGACCUACUAGUUUGUCCAGCCAGUCGGACAAACCUAAUUCCUCCACUCAUCCGCAUCCACCCCAAGGAGUAUCUGAUCUCUUAUUCAUUUAUUUAUGAUUAAUUAAUUUUAUAUUGGGGCCAAUAUAGUAUUUUGUUUAGGGGUGGGGUAAGUAUCAUGAUAACUGUUAAUUAUACUUAAUUUUUCAACUACUGAUCGAGUCAGUUAUUAAUGACUAAGGAAAAAAUUUUGAAAAAUUAAAAUA